Molecule: ribosomal RNA, 468 nt
Filed under: uncultured bacterium
Lineage: Bacteria
Description: partial 16S ribosomal RNA
Rfam family: Bacterial small subunit ribosomal RNA
Source: RNAcentral
GACGAACGCUGGCGGCGUGCUUAACACAUGCAAGUCGAACGGAAAGGCCCUGCUUUUGUGGGGUGCUCGAGUGGCGAACGGGUGAGUAACACGUGAGUAACCUGCCCUUGACUUUGGGAUAACUUCAGGAAACUGGGGCUAAUACCUGAUAGGAGCUCCUGCUGCAUGGUGGGGGUUGGAAAGUUUCGGCGGUUGGGGAUGGACUCGCGGCUUAUCAGCUUGUUGGUGGGGUAGUGGCUUACCAAGGCUUUGACGGGUAGCCGGCCUGAGAGGGUGACCGGCCACAUUGGGACUGAGAUACGGCCCAGACUCCUACGGGAGGCAGCAGUGGGGAAUAUUGCACAAUGGGCGGAAGCCUGAUGCAGCAACGCCGCGUGCGGGAUGACGGCCUUCGGGUUGUAAACCGCUUUCGCCUGUGACGAAGCGUGAGCGACGGUAAUGGGUAAAGAAGCACCGGCUAACUACGUG